RNAcentral lists this ribosomal RNA (492 nucleotides) under uncultured bacterium. Its description in RNAcentral is "partial 16S ribosomal RNA". It matches the Rfam family "Bacterial small subunit ribosomal RNA", at positions 29 to 507 of the family's 1533-position model. The record is from RNAcentral.
AGCGAACGCUGGCGGUAGGCCUAACACAUGCAAGUCGAACGGCAGCACAGUAAGAGCUUGCUCUUACGGGUGGCGAGUGGCGGACGGGUGAGGAAUACAUCGGAAUCUACUUUUUCGUGGGGGAUAACGUAGGGAAACUUACUCUAAUACCGCAUACGACCUACGGGUGAAAGCAGUGGAUCUUCGGACCUUGCGCGAUUGAAUGAGCCGAUGUCGGAUUAGCUAGUUGGCGGGGUAAAGGCCCACCAAGGCGACGAUCCGUAGCUGGUCUGAGAGGAUGAUCAGCCACACUGGAACUGAGACACGGUCCAGACUCCUACGGGAGGCAGCAGUGGGGAAUAUUGGACAAUGGGCGCAAGCCUGAUCCAGCCAUACCGCGUGGGUGAAGAAGGCCUUCGGGUUGUAAAGCCCUUUUGUUGGGAAAGAAAAGCAGCAGGUUAAUACCCCGCUGUUCUGACGGUACCCAAAGAAUAAGCACCGGCUAACUUCGUG